GUCUACGGCCAUACCACCCUGAACGCGCCGAUCUCGUCUGAUCUCGGAAGCUAAGCAGGGUCGGGCCCGGUUAGUACUUGGAUGGGAGACCGCCUGGGAAUACCGGGUGCUGUAGGCU
Ribosomal RNA from Capra hircus (goat), 118 nucleotides. NCBI's taxonomy places the organism in Eukaryota, Metazoa, Chordata, Mammalia, Artiodactyla, Bovidae. The record is from Ensembl.